UGAGCAGCUGUGCUCCACCCACAAACCAGCUUCACCAAGAGAUCACUAGAGAACUCCUCCCCUGUCUGAGCACCAAGAUGACAGCUGCAGAGGCUUCAGUGGAAAUGUUAAAGACAGACUUUAGAUUCACAGAUGGCCUGGAGAAAGCAGGACCUGGUAAAGUAAAAAAUGAAAUUUGAAAAAUACUAAAGGGGAUAUUUUUACUCUCCAGCCUCCAAAUCACAAAGGGAGCUAAAUUUCAGUCUUGUGAAAUGUCAGGCCCAGGAAGACAAACUCUGGAAGACUUGGAACAUAUGUGUAAUAUCAUGGAAGUUUUGUAUUUUAAAAAUAAUAGACCUUAAACUCUUUAGAUUGCAACCAAAGAAAAUGGAUCAUACAGGGACCAGCUAGAAAAAAAAUAGAUCAAAUAUUAUUUUCUUGGAUUUGAAGAGAAUUUUUAAACACAAUGCAAAACCCAGAAGUCAUAAUCAACUCCAUUCCUAUCAAAUUUGAAUGAGUUGCUUUAAAUUAAUUUGAGGACUAUGUGUGUGGGGGGAUGGUGGGGCAAAUAAGAAAUGCAUAUGAAACAAAUUGCUUAUAUGUUGAUAAUUUUGAAAAUUGGUGAAAAGUUAAUAGUUAUAUAGGAACUUAUUAUAUUGUUUUCUUUUUGUAUAUGCUUGAGAUUUUUUUCAAUGUCAAAAAAGUAAGUAAAAAAAAACCAAGAAGAGAUACAUUAUAAGGAAAAGGAGAUGAGAAAGGAGGGCCUUUUUGAAGACUCGUCAGAGGGGCAAGUUGGAGCUUUAUUGAAAUUCAAGGAGAAAUUUAUAUAUUAGCCCAAUGACAAUAAAAAAUAAAUAAAAAUUAGGAUGCAUUGAGUUGUUAAGAUACUUUUACUAUACAACUAAAAAUAAUGAGUUGAGAUGUUUAUGUCAAGCUAAAAUCCAAAUGACAAAACACUGUGCUUAAAAUCAGAUAAUCCUACAUAUCUUUGUCCUUGUGUAUGCUUUAAGCUGAGGCUCCCUGGUUUAUUUGGAGAUGUAUGCAGAAUGAGUAUAAUGUAAUAGAGAAAUGGAACUCAUCAGAAACUUUUCUAAAAGCAUAACUUAUAUUCAAUAAAACUAACUUUUUUGGUGUUUGAAUUUUGAGUUUUGACAAACACAUAUAAUCAUGAAGUCACGGUCACAAUCAAGGUAAAGAUCCACAACCCACUCCCAAUCCCCUCAGGCCCCUUUAUAGACAUUCUCCUCCUCUGCUCCAAGCCCUUGCCAACUGCUGGUCUGUUUUCUGUUUGCUUUUCCAGAAUGUUACAUAAAUAGAAUCCUGCAGUAGAGUCUGUAGUAAUGCAUUUGAGAUUAAUCCACACUAUGGUACGGAUGGAUAGUUUGUCAUCUACAAACAAAUUUGGAUUUAGAAAAGGAGGGACUUUAUUCAAAAGGACCAAUGAUAUAGGAAUAAUGCACUUAUUUCAAAAUAUGCAGUGUCUCAAAAAUCAAACAGGAAGAGGCCUUGGUUUUAUAAAAGAGGUUAAAAAUUGUUAUCAAAAAAUAUGUGUGUGAGAGAGCCUGAGAUGAAAGAGAGAAGCUUUGUGGUUAAGAUCAUUCAAGUGAGGUAUAAAGGACUUUUGCACAUUGCAGCCUUUUUAAUCUUUUGAACAAGUCUGACUUUAGGAGCCCCUGGGAAAGACACUUGAAAUUUGGCAUAGAUUUGGUCAAGUCUGUAUAAGGUUUUAAUAAAGUGUUUUUUUUUUUUCCUUUGCUUUGCUUUUUCUUACUGCCCCAGUUUAAUUUUAACUUUUCCUCAUCCUCCCACCCCAUAAAUCCUGGUGGUAUUUUUUUUAUCUCUCCCCAGCUAAAGAAUAUUUGAAUUGUUGCAAAUUUUUCAGUUUUUCAUAAUUAUCAAUAAAACUGAAAAAAAAAGUUUAUGUAUAGGUUUUUGUGUAAAGUCAAGUUUUUUCCCCAAGUGUAGAAUACCUAGGGGCAAGCUGCACAGGGCAUAUGACAAAUAUAUGUUUUUUGGCCUUUCCAAACACAAUAGAAGGACAUUCCAUUUGCAUCUUUUCUUCACCAACACUUGCUGUUGUGACUUUGUUUAAUUUUGUUUGCUACUCUGAGAAUCAUAUGGUGACUACCCAUUGUGUUUUAAUUUGUAUUUCUCAAAAGUCUGUUAACAUCAAGCAUUAUUUUAUGUGUUUAUUUACCACUAUGGUAUUGUCUUUAUUCUUGUUACUUUGUAAGUCAUGAAAUCUAGAACUCUGAUUUCUCCAAAUUUGAUCUUUUUUUCCAAAAUCAUUUGGCUAUUGUGGUUCUUUUACCUUAUCACAUAAUUAAAAAGUGACCUUCUUGAUUUCUACAAAAAAUAAAAUAAAGUAAAUCAUGCUGAAGUGUUUACUGGAAUUGCACUGGAUUUAUAAACCUGUUUGGAAAUAGUGUGAAUAUUCCAUCCAUGAGUUGAACAUUCCAAUGUAUGAACAUCUUUUGUUUCUCUAUUGUUUAGAUCUUCUUUGAGCUGUUUAUUGUUCUUGCAUGUAGUUUUCAUUAUACUGAUUAUGAACAUAUUUUGAUAGCUUUACAGUUAAGUAUUUUAUCCUGAUAUUACUACAAAUGGUACUGAAUUUGUAUUUUAAUUUGCAUUUGAUAAUUGCUAGUAUAUGAAAAUAGAAAUGAUUUUUAAUGAUUAGUAUUGUAUCUUACAGUUUUGCCAAAACUCAUUUAUUACAUCUACUAGAAUUUUGCUCGAUUCUUUGACAUCAUCAUCACAGAUCAGGCUGAAUGGGUACAGCUGGAGGGAUUAAAAUGCUGCUCUUGCAGAGGGCCAUGCUGAGCACCAUCAACCAGACACCAGUGAUCCUGCAGGUGCAGGACCUGAUGACCUCCCAGGUGCAGAUGGGCGGCCACCCUACUGAGGUCCUGUGCCUCAUGAAGUGGUGCUGCCAGAGGUGCGCCUGGUGGAUGAGGAGUACAGGAGAUGGUGGGGGACCUGCGGGGUGAGUGCAGCAAGUACAGCUCCUCAAGUCCACCUGGAUACAGAUGGUAUCCAGGUGCCUGACUGCAGCAAGAUCCUUGUGGAGCUCACCUCUGUGUGACUACCAGAAAUCCAUGCAGGACCUUUGCAAAUUCGCCAACAACCAGGUUGUCACAAAAUAUUGUGAUCUUGACUCUUAACCAUGGGUGAGACUUAUGGUAGGGUAGGGGCAGAGCUGGCUGGAGGUUUGUCUCUUCACCUGUCCCCCUCUCCCUCCCCCUCUGAAGAUGAUGGGCAGAGGAGUGAGAACAAAAUGAC
Molecule: long non-coding RNA, 3258 nt
Filed under: Marmota monax (woodchuck)
Lineage: Eukaryota; Metazoa; Chordata; Mammalia; Rodentia; Sciuridae
Source: RNAcentral